RNAcentral lists this transfer RNA (73 nucleotides) under Cimex lectularius (bed bug). RNAcentral's name for it is "tRNA-Tyr". It matches the Rfam family "tRNA". Rfam says of the family: Transfer RNA (tRNA) molecules are approximately 80 nucleotides in length. Their secondary structure includes four short double-helical elements and three loops (D, anti-codon, and T loops). Lineage: Eukaryota; Metazoa; Arthropoda; Insecta; Hemiptera; Cimicidae. The record is from Rfam by way of RNAcentral.
GUCACGAUAGCUCAAGUGGUAGAGUAGCGGUGUAUAAAGCCGAAGGUCGUGGGUUCGUAUCCCGCUCGUGACA